UACGUAGGGUGCAAGCGUUGUCCGGAAUUAUUGGGCGUAAAGAGCUCGUAGGCGGUUCGUCGCGUCGGCUGUGAAAACCCGGAGCUCAACUCCGGGCCUGCAGUCGAUACGGGCGGACUGGAGUUCGGCAGGGGAGACUGGAAUUCCUGGUGUAGCGGUGAAAUGCGCAGAUAUCAGCAGGAACACCGGUGGCGAAGGCGGGUCUCUGGGCCGAUACUGACGCUGAGGAGCGAAAGCGUGGGGAGCGAACAGG
This 253-nucleotide ribosomal RNA is filed under the name uncultured bacterium. RNAcentral's name for it is "partial 16S ribosomal RNA". It matches the Rfam family "Bacterial small subunit ribosomal RNA", at positions 524 to 776 of the family's 1533-position model. The record is from RNAcentral.